ACCCAGCUGACGAGUCCCAAAUAGAACGAAACGCAUGUCAUAGAU
This 45-nucleotide non-coding RNA is filed under the name Schistosoma margrebowiei. The record is from RNAcentral. Lineage: Eukaryota; Metazoa; Platyhelminthes; Trematoda; Strigeidida; Schistosomatidae.